UAUCACUGUCCUGGGUAGAGUGUCAUCUACCUGGCAGUGUCCAUUUCAUAUUAGCCAGGGACAAAGCAAUUCCUUUUUUCUCCCAACUUGGCUUUUGGUCUGUGCCCAUGCUUGGUUCAUGCCUUGGAUAUAUGG
Erinaceus europaeus (western European hedgehog) is the source of this 135-nucleotide small nucleolar RNA. Lineage: Eukaryota; Metazoa; Chordata; Mammalia; Eulipotyphla; Erinaceidae. The record is from Ensembl.